RNAcentral lists this long non-coding RNA (1154 nucleotides) under Marmota monax (woodchuck). Lineage: Eukaryota; Metazoa; Chordata; Mammalia; Rodentia; Sciuridae. The record is from RNAcentral.
GGAAGAGUGGCCUGAGGUCACCCAGGCUGGCUCCCGCUGGGCGCAGAUGGAAGAGCAGGCUCAGGCUUUGUUGUGAGCUCGCUGCUGUCCUGGCUGUGAAGGGGCAGCUCCAGAGGGGGACAGAGGAUGCGUUUGGAGAAGAGCACGCGAGAGAGGCACCCGGGGCUCCCUGGACGACAGCCGGACCCUUGACCUGCCUGGGGCUCCGUUUCCUUGGCUCACCAGGCAGGAUGGAGCUGCGUGGCACCCAGGCGACUGGCUGUUCAUGGGGCAUGAUCCGCACUCUCUGGACGGUCCUGUCCUUGUCCAAGGCAGCAAUGUGACUGCACCUAUCCGCUCCUCCCACUGGGUUUCCCUGGGCUGGCGGCUCCCUGGCCUGCGGUGACGUCGGAAGAGAGGGGCGGAUGCAGCACAGCUCCUCCUGGAGACGCUGGGCUCAUCUUGCUGUGCCUGAGUUUGGAGGUGUGAGGUUGUGUGUGUGAGGUUGUGUGUGUGUUUGUGUGUGAGGUUGUGUGUGUGAGGUUGUGUGUAUGAGGUUGUGUGUGUGAGGCUGUAUGUGUGUGAGGUUAUAUGUGUGAGAUGUGUGUGUGGUUGUGUGUGAGGUUGUGUGUGUGAGAUGUGUGUGUGGGGCUGUGUGUGUGAGAUGUGUGUGUGGUUGUGUGUGAGGUUGUCUGUGUGUUUGUGUGUGAGGUUGUGUGUGUGAGGUUGUGUGUGUGAGGUGUGUGCGAGGUUGUCACACACUCCAACACACACACUCCAACACACACACUCCGACAGUGUGUGUGAGGUUGUGUGUGUAUGAGGUUGUGUAUGUGAGGUUGUGUGUGUGAGGCUGUGUGUGUGUGAAGUUGUGUGUGUGAGGCUGUAUGUGUGUGAAGUUGUGUGUGUGAGGCUGUAUGUGUGUGAAGUUGUGUGUGUGAGGCUGUGUGAGGUUGUGUGUGUGAGGCUGUGUGUGUGAGGUGUGUGUGAGGUUGCGUGUGUGAGGUUGUGUGUGUAUCUGUGUGUGAGGUUGUGUGUGGGAGGUUGUGUGGGUGAGGUGUGUGUGUGAGGCUGCAUGUGUGAGUGGCCAUUUAAUUUCUAACUGACCUAGUGGGUCUUGGGAGCCUGGGACACUCCCGUAGUGUCUGAAGCUCGUCCCCAGGAACACAGGACUC